This 672-nucleotide ribosomal RNA is filed under the name Bacillus anthracis (anthrax bacterium). Its description in RNAcentral is "bacterial SSU rRNA". It matches the Rfam family "Bacterial small subunit ribosomal RNA", at positions 49 to 702 of the family's 1533-position model. The record is from RNAcentral. Lineage: Bacteria; Bacillati; Bacillota; Bacilli; Caryophanales; Bacillaceae.
AGCUAUAAUGCAGUCGAGCGAUGGAUUGAGAGCUUGCUCUCAAGAAGUUAGCGGCGGACGGGUGAGUAACACGUGGGUAACCUGCCCAUAAGACUGGGAUAACUCCGGGAAACCGGGGCUAAUACCGGAUAAUAUUUUGAACUGCAUGGUUCGAAAUUGAAAGGCGGCUUCGGCUGUCACUUAUGGAUGGACCCGCGUCGCAUUAGCUAGUUGGUGAGGUAACGGCUCACCAAGGCAACGAUGCGUAGCCGACCUGAGAGGGUGAUCGGCCACACUGGGACUGAGACACGGCCCAGACUCCUACGGGAGGCAGCAGUAGGGAAUCUUCCGCAAUGGACGAAAGUCUGACGGAGCAACGCCGCGUGAGUGAUGAAGGCUUUCGGGUCGUAAAACUCUGUUGUUAGGGAAGAACAAGUGCUAGUUGAAUAAGCUGGCACCUUGACGGUACCUAACCAGAAAGCCACGGCUAACUACGUGCCAGCAGCCGCGGUAAUACGUAGGUGGCAAGCGUUAUCCGGAAUUAUUGGGCGUAAAGCGCGCGCAGGUGGUUUCUUAAGUCUGAUGUGAAAGCCCACGGCUCAACCGUGGAGGGUCAUUGGAAACUGGGAGACUUGAGUGCAGAAGAGGAAAGUGGAAUUCCAUGUGUAGCGGUGAAAUGCGUAGAGAUAUGGA